Anneissia japonica is the source of this 1189-nucleotide long non-coding RNA. RefSeq lists it as uncharacterized. Lineage: Eukaryota; Metazoa; Echinodermata; Crinoidea; Comatulida; Comatulidae. The record is from RefSeq and is a predicted model, not a curated record. The transcript has 3 exons.
AUAUAAGAAUGCGAAAAGAACGAUGUUUGCUGCAUCAAAUUAACCACACUACAGAGACCCAUGGAGUAAAAUUGGUGAGAUGCUAGGAAUAGAUGCUGACCAGGCAAAAACAUCAACUCAAUCAAGGGAAACUUUCAACAAUCUUCUAGAAACAGUUUUUCUUGGACGCUAGAAGAUUUACUCCAAGACAUGCAUGAUGACUGUCAGAUGUAGGAACACCUAAAAAUCGUUAGCCGAUCAUUGCCUGAUGAAUCCGUCUCGUCUGUGCAACGCUAGUCCGUUAACAGUGGAUCACUCGUCGCAGACUCAUGGACACGUGUCGGCAGCAGUGCAAAAGCUGGCUUUACAGUUUCUUGAUACGAGAGCUAAUUCGAUCUAACUGAACCGAGGCCACUACAUUUUCAAGUUUCAAAAUGAUCUCGAAUUGGAGGGAGAACUGUAUACCUAUAUUAAAAAUAAUAAUUAUAAGCUUUGUUGCGGCGUUUUUUAAAGCGGCAAGUAUUCGUCAGAAGUGCCUAAUGGAUCAACAGUAUUGCAAUAAUUGCGCAUAAGGCAUACGUGUACAAGGCAAACUGUGACUCCAAGACCUCGAUGGAGAUACCACGGCAUGGCUUCGAGUGACCAUAUUACCAAGUUGAGUUUCACAGUCAUACGAAAGUAGAAUUAUGUGUAUUAAUUGUUUCAUGUGCCAGCGGCAUAUUCUAUGAUCCACUAAGCUACUGUAACUAACAGCUUAACAAGGAACGGGCGUCUCUGUUUCUAAACAAGAGCGAGAUUCUUUCAUAUUUCACACGUUGUUUUGUAUAUAUGGCUUAGGGCCUACGUCUAGCAAGACUUGCAUGGCGCUUCUCAAUACAACAUACGUGACGUGUACGUGACAUGUACGUAGGCCUAUACAGUGGCGGAAAACAAUUUCGGCAAACCUUCUCUAAUGUUUUGGCAUGACAACUACAUAUACAUAGGCACGAUAUCGUUUGCUGGCUCCCGCAUUAUGCGCUCGUUUCAUCUAAACCUAUAAGAACCGAUACUUAUAUCUAAAUGGUCUUAGUUAAGUUGUGUGGGUGGGUAAAUGACUUAUUUCUGUUCAAUGGACGGAUGGGUGGGUUGUGGGAGGGUAUGUUUUGCUAUUUUUUGUGAAUGUUAAUUGUAGACUUUCUGUAGGUUAAAAAAUAUGAAUGUUUUAGUUAAA